Molecule: ribosomal RNA, 834 nt
Filed under: uncultured Pseudomonadota bacterium
Lineage: Bacteria; Pseudomonadati; Pseudomonadota
Description: bacterial SSU rRNA
Rfam family: Bacterial small subunit ribosomal RNA
Source: RNAcentral
AGUCGAGUGCGCGGUUGUAGCAAUACAACUGGCGCACGGCGCACGGGUGCGUAACACGUGGGUAACCUGCCCUUUGGUGGGGAAUAACUCCGCGAAAGCGGAGCUAAUUCCGCAUAAGAUCCGCAAGGAUGAAAGCCGCAAGGCGCCGAAGGAGGGGCCCGCGCCCGAUUAGCUAGUUGGUGAGGUAAUGGCUCACCAAGGCUUUGAUCGGUAGCUGGUCUGAGAGGAUGGUCAGCACACUGGAACUGAGACACGGUCCAGACUCCUACGGGAGGCAGCAGUGGGGAAUCUUGCACAAUGGGCGAAAGCCUGAUGCAGCGACGCCGCGUGGGGGAUGAAGCAUUUCGGUGUGUAAACCCCUUUCGAUCCGGACGAAACCCCGCAAGGGAUUGACGGUACGGAUAUAAGAAGCCCCGGCUAACUACGUGCCAGCAGCCGCGGUAAGACGUAGGGGGCCAGCGUUGUUCGGAAUUACUGGGUGUAAAGGGUUCGUAGGCGGUGUAGCAAGUCGGGAGUGAAAUCUUUGGGCUUAACCCAGAGACUGCUUCCGAAACUGCUGUGCUUGAGUGUGGGAGAGGCGCGUGGAAUUGCAGGUGUAGCGGUGAAAUGCGUAGAUAUCUGCAGGAACACCCGUGGCGAAAGCGGCGCGCUGGACCACUACUGACGCUGAGGAACGAAAGCUAGGGGAGCAAACAGGAUUAGAUACCCUGGUAGUCCUAGCCCUAAACGAUCAGGACUUGGGGUGCCACCCGUUCGGGUGUCGUCCCGGAGCUAACGCGUUAAGUCCUGCACCUGGGGAGUACGGUCGCAAGACUGAAACUCAAAGGAAUUGAC